This 271-nucleotide ribosomal RNA is filed under the name uncultured bacterium. Its description in RNAcentral is "partial 16S ribosomal RNA". It matches the Rfam family "Bacterial small subunit ribosomal RNA", at positions 29 to 327 of the family's 1533-position model. The record is from RNAcentral.
AACGAACGCUGGCGGCAUGCCUAACACAUGCAAGUCGAACGCGUGUAGCAAUACACGAGUGGCGGACGGGUGAGUAACGCGUGGGAACCUGCCCAGUGGUAGGGAAUAACUGCGGGAAACUGCAGCUAAUACCCUAUACGCCCUUUGGGGAAAGAUUCAUCGCCAUUGGAGGGGCCCGCGUCGGAUUAGCUAGUUGGCGGGGUAAUGGCCCACCAAGGCAACGAUCCGUAGCUGGCUGAGAGGAUGAUCAGCCACACUGGGACUGAGAUAC